UGACCUCGAUCAGUAG
RNAcentral lists this ribosomal RNA (16 nucleotides) under Trichoderma harzianum. RNAcentral's name for it is "partial 28S ribosomal RNA". RNAcentral also lists the same sequence under 8 other names. Lineage: Eukaryota; Fungi; Ascomycota; Sordariomycetes; Hypocreales; Hypocreaceae. The record is from RNAcentral.